UGGCGGCGAUAGCGCGGUGGUCCCACCUGACCCCAUGCCGAACUCAGAAGUAAAACGCCGUAGCGCCGAUGGUAGUGUGGGGCUUCCCCAUGCGAGAGUAGGGAACUGCCAG
Molecule: ribosomal RNA, 112 nt
Filed under: Leminorella richardii
Lineage: Bacteria; Pseudomonadati; Pseudomonadota; Gammaproteobacteria; Enterobacterales; Budviciaceae
Source: RNAcentral